RNAcentral lists this microRNA precursor (82 nucleotides) under Ovis aries (sheep). RNAcentral's name for it is "miRNA (ENSOARG00000021405.1)". Lineage: Eukaryota; Metazoa; Chordata; Mammalia; Artiodactyla; Bovidae. The record is from RNAcentral.
UACUGAGUUGGCCAAAAAGGUCAUUUGGGUUUUUCCAUUAGAUGGUACAGGAAAACCCAAAAGAACUUUUUGGCCAAUGCAA